Long non-coding RNA from Oncorhynchus tshawytscha (Chinook salmon), 1706 nucleotides. NCBI's taxonomy places the organism in Eukaryota, Metazoa, Chordata, Actinopteri, Salmoniformes, Salmonidae. The record is from Ensembl.
CCCCCUGCUCCUCUCUGUGGUCUCCUGACUCCCCCAGCUCCUCUCUGUGGUCUCCAGACUCCCCCCUGCUCCUCUCUAUGGUCUCCAGACUCCCACCUGCUCCUCUCUGUGGUCUCCAGACUCCCCCUGCUCCUCAGGGCUGUUGCAGCAGUCUUUGUGAACCUCAGGUGAAGUGCUUUAGAUGGAUGGCUCCUCCAAGCCACUGGGGGCACUGUGCUGCGUAGGCUUUAUUUGUAAACAAACCAAACUGUAUAUAUGUUCAGCUGUCACUGACGUUGCAGACAUCAGUCACUGUGUACAAACUGUCAUGAUGUGCUUUUGUAGAUAAUGUUGAAGGUAAAUAUUUAAGACUCUAAUGGACAAAAUGCCUUGACUCUUUGUGGAGAUGCGUUGUAAACAUUUGUUCAGCAGUUUUACUGAGCAGUGAAACUCAACAGCACUUUGUUUUCUUUGGGAGUUUGACCCUGUUGGGCUAGGUCAGUAACCAUAGUAACCAACCACAGCAGGAAGUUCACUACAGAGGGACUGAGUUUACAUGUGUUCUCACCCUCUGAUCUAUACUCCCUUCAAGUGUGUACUUGUCCUUAUAACAAUCCACUGCUUUUCAACCCAUGAAGGGCAGUGAGUUCACCCAGCUCCUCUCAGCUCAGUGUAUAUAUAGACACUUCUGUUGAUGGGUAGUGAGUUCACCCAUCUCCUCUCAGCUCAGUGUAUAUAUAGACACUGUUCUGUUGAUGGGUAGUGAGUUCACCCAGCUCCUCUCAGCUCAGUGUAUAUAUAGACACUGUUCUGUUGAUGGGUAGUGACUCCUCUCAGCUCAGUGUAUAUAUAGACACUGUUCUGUUGAUGGGUAGUGAGUUCACUCAGCUCAGUGUAUAUAUAGACACUGUUCUGUUGAUGGGCAGUGAGUUCACCCAGCUCCUCUCAGCUCAGUGUAUAUAUAGACACUGUUCUGUUGAUGGGUAGUGAGUUCACCCAUCUCCUCUCAGCUCAGUGUAUAUAUAGACACUGUUCUGUUGAUGGGUAGUGAGUUCACCCAGCUCCUCUCAGCUCAGUGUAUAUAUAGACACUGUUCUGUUGAUGGGCAGUGAGUUCACCCAGCUCCUCUCAGCUCAGUGUAUAUAUAGACACUGUUCUGUUGAUGGGUAGUGAGUUCACCCAGCUCCUCUCAGCUCAGUGUAUAUAUAGACACUGUUCUGUUGAUGGGCAGUGAGUUCACCCAGCUCCUCUCAGCUCAGUGUAUAUAUAGACACUGUUCUGUUGAUGGGUAGUGAGUUCACUCAGCUCAGUGUACAUACAGACACUGUUCUGUUGAUGGGUAGUGAGUUCACUCAGCUCAGUGUAUAUAUAGACACUGUUCUGUUGAUGGGUAGUGAGUUCACUCAGCUCAGUGUAUAUAUAGACACUGUUCUGUUGAUGGGUAGUGAGUUCACUCAGCUCCUCUCAGCUCAGUGUAUAUAUAGACACUGUUCUGUUGAUGGGUAGUGAGUUCACUCAGCUCAGUGUAUAUAUAGACACUGUUCUGUUGAUGGGUAGUGAGUUCACUCAGCUCAGUGUAUAUACAGACACUGUUCUGUUGAUGGGUAGUGAGUUCACUCAGCUCAGUGUAUAUAUAGACACUGUUCUGUUGAUGGGUAGUGAGUUCACUCAGCUCAGUGUAUAUAUAGACACUGUUCUGUUGAUGGGUAGUGAGUUCACUCAGCUCA